UAGUUACCCCUAUUGUGUCUUAAUUGGUCUGAUCAGCCAGUAUAUAAACCCCUGUGUGUCAUUUCUUUGUUAGGUCAGUUAUGUUUGUUUGUGCAGCCAGUUUGUUUACAUUUUUUGCCUGAGUUCAGUUUUGUUUCUUUGACCUCUUUUAUGAGCUUAGUUUAUCUUUUGUUAUUUAUAAUCUUUGGGUUAAAAUAAAAAAAAACCUAUUUUUGUAAUAUGUCCUGUGACUCCUCCUGUUUUUAACUCGGUCCAUCACAACCUUACAAUUAGUUGUCAAUACGUGGGCUAUUAGAUCAAAAUGAAUUCCUAUCGAUUAACUAAUAACGUCCGCUUAACCCUCUUUCAGUGUUGUAGUUUGGCCGCCAUCCAGCAGAGGGCGCCGCUGGUCAUCUUUAUUAGCGGAGCCGUUGAGACAAGAAUCAAAGAUGGCGGCCAUGCCAGGACGGUACAGAGAAACGGUCCAAAAGGAGUUCGGAGUGGGAUCCGAGCUGAGUGACGGAGUACCGGCAACUUCUCAACUAAAAAUGACUGAUGUGCCACGACAGAAAAACGGAGAAAAAGUAACAUGAUGGGGGAAAACAUGGCGAUAAAAGGGGUAGAAAAUCCAAAACCUUCCUACUCAAACUCUCAUGAGCUGGUAGUCGAGCUCCGGGUCGCUCAUCUCCACCUCCUGCAGCUUGAAGAUCCUCUGGUGGCAGCGCUGACUCAGCUGCUUCUUCUGCUCCUUCAGACACUCGAUCAUCUGGGAAGACAUGGCUGAAAGGCGGUCUGGAUGACGGAUUCACAGGCCUCGUUCAGCGCUCUGUCGAUCCGACGCUGUCGAUGGCGCUGCUGCGGUCGCCUCGGCCGAGUCGCAUCAAGCAGUGCAGCGUCCGGCCCUUACGGUGCAAACCGGAGCACUGGGCCUCGAUCUCCGUCCGGCAGUGAAGGACGAUCUCCGGGCUCAAGGAGAAA
Xiphophorus couchianus (Monterrey platyfish) is the source of this 957-nucleotide long non-coding RNA. RefSeq lists it as uncharacterized. The transcript has 6 exons. Lineage: Eukaryota; Metazoa; Chordata; Actinopteri; Cyprinodontiformes; Poeciliidae. The record is from RefSeq and is a predicted model, not a curated record.